Molecule: ribosomal RNA, 316 nt
Filed under: uncultured bacterium
Lineage: Bacteria
Description: bacterial SSU rRNA
Rfam family: Bacterial small subunit ribosomal RNA
Source: RNAcentral
GACGAACGCUGGCGGCGCGCCUAACACAUGCAAGUCGAACGGAGUUACAUUGAAAGCUUGCUGGAUAUGUAACUUAGUGGCGGACGGGUGAGUAACACGUGAGUAAUCUGCCUUCCAGAGGGGAAUAACGUUUGGAAACGAACGCUAAUACCGCAUAACGUGCGGUCCUCGCAUGGGGACUGUACCAAAGAUUUUAUCGCUGGAAGAUGAGCUCGCGGCCGAUUAGGUAGUUGGUGAGGUAACGGCCCACCAAGGCGACGAUCGGUAGCCGGACUGAGAGGUUGAACGGCCACAUUGGGACUGAGACACGGCCCAG